AGAUUAUGUACCCGAAACAACAUAUAUCAGGUAAGACCUUCUAUGGGAAUGGUUGUUUUGUCUCCUCAAUAUUAUAUCUGAGUACAAUUGUGUGAAAGCAAAUAAUGCUUUGUGACUUUGUGUGCGCCCAAUGCUUUGGUCUAGUGGUAAGAGCACACAACUUGUGAUGUGUGGUUUAGGCGCAUGUCAUGGGAUCGAACCCUGCACAGAUAAAAGCUUGGUAUUUGAGUGUAGAAGGGAAGAAGGAUGGGUCCAUUAUUCAUCAAGUUUCGAACACUGUGUCAUUGGUGCUCGGGGAUUUAUGGCUACUAAAGAAAGAAAGCUUUGUGAGCUUGAGCCAUAUGCAGC
Molecule: long non-coding RNA, 348 nt
Filed under: Capsicum annuum
Lineage: Eukaryota; Viridiplantae; Streptophyta; Magnoliopsida; Solanales; Solanaceae
Description: long non-coding RNA (CANN_LNC002293)
Source: RNAcentral